GACGAACGCUGGCGGCGCGCCUAACACAUGCAAGUCGAACGAGCGAGAGAGAGCUUGCUUUCUCGAGCGAGUGGCGAACGGGUGAGUAACGCGUGAGGAACCUGCCUCAAAGAGGGGGACAACAGUUGGAAACGACUGCUAAUACCGCAUAAGCCCACGGCUCGGCAUCGAGCAGGGGGAAAAGGAGCAAUCCGCUUUGAGAUGGCCUCGCGUCCGAUUAGCUAGUUGGUGGGGUAACGGCCCACCAAGGCGACGAUCGGUAGCCGGACUGAGAGGUUGAACGGCCACAUUGGGACUGAGACACGGCCCAGACUCCUACGGGAGGCAGCAGUGGGGAAUAUUGCACAAUGGGGGAAACCCUGAUGCAGCGACGCCGCGUGGAGGAAGAAGGUCUUCGGAUUGUAAACUCCUGUUGUUGGGGAAGAUAAUGACGGUACCCAACAAGGAAGUGACGGCUAACUACGUG
Molecule: ribosomal RNA, 466 nt
Filed under: uncultured bacterium
Lineage: Bacteria
Description: partial 16S ribosomal RNA
Rfam family: Bacterial small subunit ribosomal RNA
Source: RNAcentral